CCUACGGGAUGCUGCAGUGAGGAAUAUUGGUCAAUGGACGCAAGUCUGAACCAGCCAUGCCGCGUGCAGGAAGACGGCUCUAUGAGUUGUACACUGCUUUUGUACGAGGGUAAAUCCCGAUACGUGUAUCGUGUUGAAAGUAUCGUAAGAAUAAGGAUCGGCUAACUCCGUGCCAGCAGCCGCGGUAAUACGGAGGAUUCAAGCGUUAUCCGGAUUUAUUGGGUUUAAAGGGGGCGUAGGCGGUUUGAUAAGUUAGAGGUGAAAGCCCGGGGCUCAACUCCGGCACUGCCUCUGAUACUGUCGGGCUAGAGUUUAGUUGCGGUAGGCGGAAUGUAUGGUGUAGCGGUGAAAUGCAUAGAGAUCAUACAGAACACCGAUUGCGAAGGCAGCUUACCAAACUACGACUGACGUUGAGGCACGAAAGCGUGGGGAGCAAACAGGAUUAGAUACCCCUGUAGUC
This 460-nucleotide ribosomal RNA is filed under the name uncultured bacterium. RNAcentral's name for it is "partial 16S ribosomal RNA". It matches the Rfam family "Bacterial small subunit ribosomal RNA", at positions 338 to 795 of the family's 1533-position model. The record is from RNAcentral.